CCCUCUUAACCAGUCCAAUCCAUGCACCUGACCAAAUGUCUCUUAAACGUGAUGGUAGUCCCUGCCUCAACUACCUCCUCCGGCAGCUUGUUCCGUACACCCACACCCUGUGUCGGAUAAAAUUCCUAUUAAAUCUUUU
Long non-coding RNA from Amblyraja radiata (thorny skate), 139 nucleotides. RefSeq lists it as uncharacterized. The record is from RefSeq and is a predicted model, not a curated record. The transcript has 3 exons. NCBI's taxonomy places the organism in Eukaryota, Metazoa, Chordata, Chondrichthyes, Rajiformes, Rajidae.